GGCAGACGAGCUAGUAACACCUUGGUUAUCUACCCCAAAGUCAGGAAUAAGCCACCGAAAGGUGGUCUAAUACCCGAUAAUCCCGAAAGGGUAAAGACUUUGUCGCUUUGGGAGGAGCCUAGGCCCGAUCAGCUUGUUGGUGUGGUAAAAGCGCACCAAGGCUACGACCGGUAGGGGAGGUGAGAGCCUGACCCCCAGCGAGGGCACUGAGACACGGGCCCUACUCCUACGGGAGGCCGCAGUCGAGAAUAUUCGGCAAUGGACGAAAGUCUGACCGAGCGACGCCGCGUGCAGGAAGAAGGUCUACGGAUUGUAAACUGCUUUUUCCGCUGAUAAAGCCGAGCACUCAAUGUGCGUUAACAUUGUAGUGCGUAUUGAGUGUUCGGUUGAUAGUAGGCGGAGAAUAAGGGGUGGCUAACUUCGUGCCAGCAGCAGCGGUAAUACGAAGACCCCGAGUGUUAUCCGGAUUUAUUGGGCGUAAAGCGUACGUAGGAGGCUUGGUGCGUCUCGUGUUAAAUCUCACCGCCCAACGGUGAGCCUGCGCGAGAUACGGCCGAGCUAGAGGAUGUGAGAGGUCUGUGGAACGCACGGUGUAGGGGUGAUAUCCGUUGAUAUCGUGCGGAACACCAAAGGCGAAGGCAGCAGACUGGCGCAUUCCUGACUCUGAGGUACGAAAGCGUGGGGAGCGAACGGGAUUAGAUACCCCGGUAGUCCACGCCGUAAACGAUGGU
Molecule: ribosomal RNA, 731 nt
Filed under: uncultured bacterium
Lineage: Bacteria
Description: bacterial SSU rRNA
Rfam family: Bacterial small subunit ribosomal RNA
Source: RNAcentral